Molecule: long non-coding RNA, 900 nt
Filed under: Mus musculus (house mouse)
Lineage: Eukaryota; Metazoa; Chordata; Mammalia; Rodentia; Muridae
Description: predicted gene, 41654
Source: RNAcentral
AGUAUAUGCAUAUGCAAAUAUAGAAGUGUGGAAAUUGAAUGACCACCUCUGAUGACAUCUUAAACAAUAACCUAAACAUCAGAGAAAGAACUUCUGGUGUGAUUCCUGCAUCUUCUUGCCACUUCUGUGGACUCCAACCAAUGGGAAUACCUCUCAGUUUACAAUGUAUUGAACUGCAACUGCCAUUUCACAUGUGCUGUCUGCCAAGUGGACUGAACUGAGAACAAUGAAGAUGGAAAUCACCCCAAAGAACAAUUUCUAAACUAGUCCACUUUCCCCAUAUCCUAAUGAUCUUUCUUUUCUACUACCUCUGACUCUGUUGACUGACUGAGCUGGCUUGGUCAGAUGGCACCUCAAUGUUGGAAUGCAAGUACAAAAGGUACAGUGAAACACAAUACAGGAAAGGAUGGGUGUGCAAAGAAAAGUUUGGGCCAGUGAUGAAUAAAUUCUGUAAAGGACAAGUGGUCAAUCAACUGGCUUUGUUGUUGCUGUUGUUGUUGUUGACAUCACCGUCCUUGUCGUCAUUGUUUCCUGUGCUGGCAGAGCCUCUGAGAGAACAGCAGUACCAAGUUCCUGUCUACAAGAACAUCUUGGCAUCAGCAAUAGUGUCAGAGUUUUCGGCAGAUGGGAAGGAUCCAAAGUGAGCUUCAUAUGGUCUGGGAGAUAUAUCAUGGAUAUUCUGAGAAUUUGGACUAAGAUCCAUUUAUCAGAGAGAACUUCCCCUUGCUUCCUGGCCCUGGUUGAUCCUACUCACUCGUGGUGAUUUGGUGGAGGCCUAGCAGUUUCUGCUAGAUCAUGCGACCACUUCUGAUUUGUGUUUGCUAUCCUGACAUUGUGGAACUGGACUGGUAUCCUGAAAAAGAGAUAUUGGAAUCACCCCAAAGAACCACUUCUAAACAA